This 552-nucleotide long non-coding RNA is filed under the name Setaria viridis. RNAcentral describes it as "long non-coding RNA (SVIR_LNC000461)". Lineage: Eukaryota; Viridiplantae; Streptophyta; Magnoliopsida; Poales; Poaceae. The record is from RNAcentral.
AAGCAUUGAAUGGUAUGGCUGCAUAUGAUACAAAAAGUGAGUAGUUCAGGCAUGUAUUCGAAUCUGAAAUGUAAAGAAAGUGAGUAUUAAAUUACCAUGUGUAUAGACCCAUCUUGCAAUAUAUUUAUGAGGCUCUAAAUUUGUGAGGCUCUGAACUUGUGAGGCUCUGAAUAGCACGUGUCCACUUAUCCAUGGGUCCUAAUUUGUGAGGCUCUGAACUUCCAACACAAGUUACUUCUUCAUCCUCUCCUCCAACCCGAGAAACAUUCACUUCUUCUCUAAGCUCUAGUUCAUGAGCAACUGCCUCCUUCCUCUUCCUUUUUGAAUCUUCCAGUGACUUCUUGCUCUUGUCUUUAGCCUCCUAUGUACUCUUCUUGCAUUUCUUCGCAUUUGUUCCAUCAUUGGUCACAUGUUCCUUCAACCGAUGCACCCCACCUUGGCUCCGGUGACCACAGAACUUGCACUCCACCUUGUCCUUGUUGUUUGGAUCCACCAGAAACACAUACUCCCAUCCCACAUCAUCUUAAAUUCUUUUGAGGACAUUCACCUCCU